RNAcentral lists this ribosomal RNA (503 nucleotides) under uncultured Pseudomonadota bacterium. RNAcentral describes it as "bacterial SSU rRNA". It matches the Rfam family "Bacterial small subunit ribosomal RNA", at positions 401 to 896 of the family's 1533-position model. The record is from RNAcentral. Lineage: Bacteria; Pseudomonadati; Pseudomonadota.
UGUGUGAAGAAGGCCUUCGGGUUGUAAAGCACUUUCGGACGGAACGAAAUCGCGCGAUCUAAUAAGUCGCGUGGAUGACGGUACCGUAAGAAGAAGCACCGGCUAACUACGUGCCAGCAGCCGCGGUAAUACGUAGGGUGCGAGCGUUAAUCGGAAUUACUGGGCGUAAAGUGUGCGCAGGUGGCUGAGCAAGUCGAGUGUGAAAUCCCCGGGCUUAACUUGGGAAUUGCGCUCGAAACUACUUGGCUCGAGUGUGGCAGAGGAAGGUGGAAUUCCAGGUGUAGCGGUGAAAUGCGUAGAGAUCUGGAGGAGCACCGAUGGCGAAGGCAGCCUUCUGGGCCAACACUGACGCUCAUGCACGAAAGCGUGGGGAGCAAACAGGAUUAGAUACCCUGGUAGUCCACGCCCUAAACGAUGAUGACUAGUUGUUGGGGGAGUUAAAUCCCUUAGUAACGCAGCUAACGCGUGAAGUCAUCCGCCUGGGGAGUACGGUCGCAAGAUUA